Non-coding RNA from Arachis ipaensis, 1165 nucleotides. The record is from RefSeq and is a predicted model, not a curated record. NCBI's taxonomy places the organism in Eukaryota, Viridiplantae, Streptophyta, Magnoliopsida, Fabales, Fabaceae.
CCUCACCCAGCAGCAGUAGCAAGCGCAGCUUGCUUUUCUUCCUGAAUCAAAGGAAAAAGAAUGAAAAUGGAAAGAAGAGGGGGACUGAGCCAGAAGGACGAAGCAGAGAGGGAAAGGGGGGACCGAAUCGCGGCAGAGGAAAGGAGGGAGUUCGCUGUCGCGCCGCCAUCGUCUUCACCACGCCUCACCGUGGGUCGCGCUACUGUCGCCGGUCACCUCGCCGCCGUGCCCAGAUCGCGUCCAGUCCUCGUCACCGUCGCUCAUCCUCACCACCGCCAGCUGCGUUGUCCCUGCCAAGCUGCAGAACCUGCCUCGCUGCCGCGCCACCACGCCUUGCCAUGGAAUCGUCCUGCUGCUACCACUGUCACGGAGAAGAGGCGUUGAAGAGGGGCAGAACUCGAGUCUCGUUGCCGCCGUCCAUGGGGCCUCGAAUUGCGUCACUGUCACCGGCAAGAGGGGGAAGACGCGAGCUGGAGGAGCAAGAUGAGUUCUUCUGCCUCCAUGGUUCUGGUCCGCUGAGGAAGGGAAGAUGCUGCCUUGGUGCUUCACGGUCGCCGAAGAGCACGGAGGAGAGGAGCUGUGACCACGUCACUGCCCUUUAGGGCUAUGCUUGGCCGCCGUUGUACUGCCCUGCUUCACCGUGGCUGAGCUCUGCCACUCCCAGCCCCCUUUUGGCUUGUGAUGUUGCUGCGGGAAUCGCUACAGGAAGAAGAGCAGGCUAAGUCACCGUGAUUUGGGCCGCUGUGACUUCCGGGAUCACCGAAGGAGCUCCGGGCCGAGUUUCUCCAACAUGAGACCCUGCUGCCAUUGCCGAAAAAGUUUGCCGUUGAUCCACCAGAGCUUCUGGCCGCCGCCGGAGCUGUGCGGGGACCGGUUCGAAACUGCAGCUGCUUCGUGUUGUUAUUCCGAGUUGUUUAUGCUGCUGCGAAAAUGUGUGGGGCUGUGCUUUGAAGCUGCCUUUGAUUUUGAGUUGAGGUGAAAAGAACUUAUGAGACGCUUGGAUUAUGGAAUUGCGUUUUGAGGAUAUGGGCGCAGAAGUCACGAAGAGUUUAUUUAGUUAUUGAUAUGUUCUGUAUUGAUGUAGAUUAUUUAUUGUACCCUCGCCUUUAUCUUGAUAUAUUCUGUGAGAGGGAUAGGGAUUGUAUUGGUUAAUGCUUGUAAAUAU